AGGUGAGCGCCAAUACGCGCACGUACGCGGAAAGGGGAACCGCCCAUGCGCACAUAAAGGUCCUCACUCUCGCAUACGGGCUCGGCCGGCUGCUGAGAGGCAGCGCCGGCAUCCGCGUUGCGGCAAGCCUCCUGCUGUGCUGAUUGCCGGCGCGCCUGGAGCGCUGGCGGCGGCGGCGGCGUACAUUUGAUGGUGCCGCCCCCCUCCCCCUUCCUCCCUCCCCUUCCCGGGCAGCGCCGUCACCGGGCCUACGGCACGGCGCGGUUGCCGAGGUGAUGGGCAAUGCGACCUGGCCGCUGGUGGUGGGCACUGACGGAGGGGAGCUCUGUGUGGCACCUGAGCGCAUUGUGUUGCGGGGGCCGCCGAGGAAGCUGCACCACACCGCGAGGCUGCUGGAGCGUGCGAGCUGGCUGCGCUGCUGCGCGCACGGCCCGCGCGCCGUGGAGGCCGUGGCGCUUAUCCCGAUUAGCCGGUGCUGGCGCGGGGGUGGGCGUGAACCACGGACCGCCACCGAGACCCCUCCAAGGCCGCCCGGUGGUGUGAGGGCGUGUGUGUGUGCUCGCGACGGCCGCCCUCGCCGGUGGCUGUGGCGGGUGCAAGAGUGCGCUGUGCCGCAGCGCGGUGCGCGUGGAGGGCGGGCCGCUCGCGCACGUCGGCGUCCACGGCGCGGAGGGCAGGCUGCGCUGCGUCGUCGAGGCGCUCUGCGUGAAGCGGGGGCGCGAGGUGUGCGGCGACGCUGUGGCGCUGGCGUGUGCGACCGUCGUCUGUGCCAUCUCACCGUGGAGGGGUGCCCAUCGCGUCGCUCAGCAUGGCCCUCGGUGGUAGCUGUCGUUAUGUGUGGUCUGCUGGUGAGUGAAGUUUUAUGGCAGAAAUUUAUGCUGAUUCGAUGGUGUGAUCGUGCACAGAAAGCGAGAAAAUAGUAAAAUAGCUUGUGGUGAAGGUAGAAGAAGGGUAAACGGUCGGGAGCACCGGAAUUAUAUCGGUGCUGUUAAGCAGAAGACAUAUCUGUAUGCAAGGUGCAUGCGUGGAAGGAAGCACUGUAGUGGCUCGAAAAUGAACGUGAUGUGUGUGUAUCCGCCGUUGGCGCUGCGGAGACAUUGAGGCGAUGGAGACAAAGAGGCGAACUCGUUCAAUGGCGUCGAUAGGCAUUUCUAGCAUUUUUCUUGUUGGUCUGUUCUCUCUCUUGCUGCGACGUCAGCUCGUAUUUGUCUACACACGUGUCGAUGUGCUGAGUUGAAAUUCCGCAAACGAUUUGAAAGAACGAACGGGUGGAUGUGCUCACAGGUGAAUUAGGCGGCAUACGCACACACACAAAGAAAAGGUCAUACACAGAAAUGGAUAUGUAUAUGUAUAUACAUGUAUGUAUGUAUGCGGAUUCAAGGAAGUGGUGGGGGUCGGUGCAAAAAGCAAUGCUGUGAUUGUCGCGUGUUGGUAUCUUCUGAAGGCCGACGCACCUCUGUGUGUGUUUUUUUUAUCUUCUUCCCCACUCUUUUCUCUUCCUUAUCUCCGUGGGCGUUGCUGUGGGUGUUUUCUUCUCAUGUUCUCUCCACUCUGUAGUUAGCCAACUUUCUUGGAAUCUGCCGUUAUGGUCUCCAUAUUUGCGGUGGUAUCGUUCACCGCUCUCUCCUCCGUGUUUGUGUGACGUGUCUCUCUCUUGACUCUUGGCGUGCACUCUCUUCACGUAGUGUGCUUCUGUGUGUGUCUUGGUUUUAUUUUAGUUUUUCUUCUUCCGCUUGUUUUCACGUGUGUCCACCGCAAGACUCCACCGCGAUGCAGGUUUUAUCUGACGGAAAAAAAGG
RNAcentral lists this unclassified non-coding RNA (1799 nucleotides) under Leishmania donovani. RNAcentral describes it as "gene:unknown". The record is from RNAcentral. Lineage: Eukaryota; Euglenozoa; Kinetoplastea; Trypanosomatida; Trypanosomatidae.